RNAcentral lists this ribosomal RNA (484 nucleotides) under uncultured bacterium. Its description in RNAcentral is "partial 16S ribosomal RNA". It matches the Rfam family "Bacterial small subunit ribosomal RNA", at positions 29 to 507 of the family's 1533-position model. The record is from RNAcentral.
AUUGAACGCUGGCGGCAUGCUUUACACAUGCAAGUCGAACGGCAGCGCGGGCUUCGGCCUGGCGGCGAGUGGCGAACGGGUGAGUAAUGCAUCGGAACGUGCCCAGUAGUGUGGGAUAGCCCGGCGAAAGCCGGAUUAAUACCGCAUACGACCUGAGGGUGAAAGCGGGGGACCGAAAGGCCUCGCGCUAUUGUAUCGUCCGAUGUCGGAUUAGCUAGUUGGUGGGGUAAAGGCUUACCAAGGCGACGAUCCGUAGCUGGUCUGAGAGGACGACCAGCCACACUGGGACUGAGACACGGCCCAGACUCCUAAGGGAGGCAGCAGUGGGGAAUUUUGGACAAAGGGGGCAACCCUGAUCCAGCCAUGCCGCGUGCGGGAAGAAGGCCUUCGGGUUGUAAACCGCUUUUGUUCGGGAAGAAAUCCUCUGGGCUAAUACCCCGGGGGGAUGACGGUACCGGAAGAAUAAGCACCGGCUAACUACGUG